Molecule: ribosomal RNA, 365 nt
Filed under: uncultured eukaryote
Lineage: Eukaryota
Description: partial 18S ribosomal RNA
Rfam family: Eukaryotic small subunit ribosomal RNA
Source: RNAcentral
CAAUAGCGUAUAUUUAAGUUGUUGCAGUUAAAAAGCUCGUAGUCGGAUUUUGGCUGAGAACGAUCGGUCCGCCGUUAGGUGUGCACUGAUUGGUCUCAGCUUCCUGGUGAGGAGGUGUGCUUCACGGCCACUUAGUCACCGUGGUUACUUUGAAAAAAUUAGAGUGUUCAAAGCGGGCUUACGCUUGAAUAUAUUAGCAUGGAAUAACACCAUAGGACUCCUGUCCUAUUUCGUUGGUCACGGGACGGGAGUAAUGAUUAAGAGGAACAGUUGGGGGCAUUCGUAUUUCAUCGUCAGAGGUGAAAUUCUUGGAUUUAUGAAAGACGAACUUCUGCGAAAGCAUUUGCCAAGGAUGUUUUCAUUGA